AUUUGACUGCAUCAAAUCUGUAGCUGCUUCCACAUAGCUACUAUGGUCAAAAAGGAGCCCAGAAUGACAGUUUUUCCUGAUCGUCUCCGUUCUGUUUGCUGUAACUGAUCUGCAACAUUUUGGGAAAAUACAGUU
This 135-nucleotide small nucleolar RNA is filed under the name Dasypus novemcinctus (nine-banded armadillo). Lineage: Eukaryota; Metazoa; Chordata; Mammalia; Cingulata; Dasypodidae. The record is from RNAcentral.